GCUGGGCACGAUGGCUCAUGCCUAUAAUCCCAGCAUUUUGGGAGGCUGAGGCAGGAGGAUUACUUGAGCCCAGGAAUUCGAGACCAGCCUGGGCAACAUAGUGAGACCCUGUCUCUA
Molecule: non-coding RNA, 117 nt
Filed under: Nomascus leucogenys (northern white-cheeked gibbon)
Lineage: Eukaryota; Metazoa; Chordata; Mammalia; Primates; Hylobatidae
Source: Rfam by way of RNAcentral